GUAGGUGAACCUGCGGAAGGAUCAUUAACACGUACCCAAACGUUAAAACCCCCCUGCUCUGAAGUGACUUCCACUGUCUGAAAGUGUCAGUGUACUUGCGUAAGGAGUUGGCGCAGUCAACAAAUCAAUGGGCCGACACGGCCCUGCGACCGGGACCCUUUGAGGGGUAAAACGGCUCCACCCAGAUGAAAAUCUGGCAUGACAUGAGAGACGGCCGGCGCCGAAAGGUUGUAGGCACAAACAACGAACAACUGUUAACAAUGGAUUUCUUGGUUCUC
This 278-nucleotide unclassified non-coding RNA is filed under the name rhizosphere metagenome. RNAcentral describes it as "partial ribosomal RNA internal transcribed spacer region". The record is from RNAcentral.